AUGGUGGUCCCCACCCAGCCGGCCAGGCGCCUCCAGCCUCGGAAAUCCAGCUUUCCGGGGGACGGGGACGAGGCUCCUGGCCCGGGCGGGGGCGACGGGGCAGCGGCUGGCGGCGGCGGCGGCGGGGGUCUCGGCGGCGGGGGGCGCUCGGCUCAGCGGCGCGCAGGGGCCGGGGCGCGGCGUCCCAUCGGGGCGGCCCCGUCCGUGGGACCGGGCGGCGAGCUGCAGGGUUGGGGGAGGAAGUCAGGCUGCAGGCCGCCGGGGCCAGAGGGCUGGGCCGGGGGCAGGAAGCUGCGGCGCUGGCUCCCCCCUCGGCGAUUUUCGAACUUCUGCUGUCGCUCCCCGUGCGCGCAAACCGCAGUUCGCCGCCGCCGCCGGGCACCCAGCCCCAGGGGGGCGGGCUGGAGGGAGGGGGCGGGCGCCGGGUGCCGGCCGGGGGACCCCCGCAACCAUGGCGGGCGGGGAGUGGGCUGCCGAGCCGCUUCACCUGCCGCAGAGGGGGCGGCCGGCGCCGCUUCACCUGCCGGAGCAGGAGGCCACCGAGGCGAGGCCGAGGCGGCGGCGCGCUCGGCGGCGCCUCCGGGUCCUAGAACCGCAUCCUCCCGCUCGCCUCGGGCGAGGGAUUGGCCGGGUCUGGGUGAAGGGGGUCACGGCCUGGGGAUCGGAGGGGCACAUCUCCUCCGCACCGAGGAUCUCAACGACUGCGAGCACGGCUCGGAGACCCACGGUGGUGCAGCGUUGGCGCGCCAGGGCUGCGUUCCCGUCUCGGGUCCCGAACUGAGAAGAAAUACUUCCAGAGCUCUUUCAUUCAUCCGGACAAUGGCCAGAGAAGAGCCACUGACGAGACUAAGCAAGAGACGGAAAGUUAACAUCUAAUCUGGAGGAAGACCCUGGAAGGAGCCAGCCCCUUCCCCCAGGUUGACCUGGUUUAAGCCUUUCUUCUGCCAAGGUCACCAGCACCCCAGAUGGGUGAGAGAUGUGAUCACUGGUUUCGUGGCCUGACCAAGGACCUCCAAGAUCUGUGAGUUACAAAAAAAAAUGAGAAGAUGGAAUCAAUUAUUACGUAGUAAAUUUCAUUGGCUUGGCGGGAGGUAUCUUUCCCAUCUUGGCCCACAGAGGAGGAAAUCCUAGAAGGGGUGACUGAAGCUUGAGACUAACACAUUGGUGGAUCUGUGCUACCCCCUGCUGGCCACUGACGGUAUGACAGCCAAGAUAGGGCAAGGCUUCGAGGGGCGAUGGAUGGAUUCACCGCAGCGGAGACAUUUCUGGACGGUUGUCACCUUCAGUGCAGUCACUGGGGAUAUUCAGAACCCAGGUGAUUGAUAAGGUUUCCCCAGGGAUCUCUUCUCUCCCCUUCACCAUUACUCAGUAGAAGCCUCCUUAAAAACGGAAAACGAGAGGCCGGGCGCGGUGGCUCACGCCUGUAAUCCCAGCACUUUGGGAGGCUGAGGCGGGAGGAUCACGAGGUCAGGAGAUCGAGACCAUCCUGGCUAACACAACCCCGUCUCUACUUAAAAUACUAAAAAUUAGCCGGGCGUGGUGGCACGCGCCUGUAGUCCCAGCUACUCAGGAGGCUGAGGCAGGAGAAUCGCUUGAACCUGGGAGGCGGAGGAGGUUGCAGUGAGCUGAGAUGGCGCCACUGCACUCCAGCCUGGCCUACCAAGACCCCGUCUCAAAAAGAAAAAAAAAAAAAAGGAAAAAGGGGCUGGGCGUGGUGUCUCACGCUUAUAAUCCUAGCACUUUGGGAGACCAAGGCAGGCAGAUCAUGAGGUCAGGAGUUCGAGACUAGUGUGGCCAACAUAGUGAAACCCCAUCUCUACUAAAAAUACAAAAAAUUAGCCAGGUGUGGUGGCGCGUGCCUGUAAUCCUAGCUACUCGGGAGGCUGAGGCAGGAGAAUGGCUUGAACCCAGGAGGCCGAGGUUGCAGUGAGCCCAGAUCACGCCAUUGCUAUCCAGCCUGGGUGACAGAGCAAGACUCCGUCUUGAGGAAAAAAGAAAAAGGGGCCAGGCAUGGUGGCUCACACCUGUAAUCCCAGCACUUUGGGAGGCUGAGGAGGGAAGAUCGCUAAAACCCAGGAGUUCAAGACUAGCCUGGGCAACAUGGUGAGACCCCAUCUCUACAAAAAAAAAAAAAUCUGGGCAUGAUGGUGCGCACCUGUAGUCCCAGCUAUUCGGGAGGCUGAGGUGGGAAGAUUGUUUGAGCCUGAGAGGUCAAGGCUGCAGUGAGCCAAGAUCGCAUCACUGCACUCCAGCCUGGGUAACAGAGCAAGAUCCUGCCUCAAAAAAAAAAAAAAAAAAAAAAAAGGAAAAA
RNA transcript from Symphalangus syndactylus (siamang), 2311 nucleotides. RefSeq lists it as uncharacterized. NCBI's taxonomy places the organism in Eukaryota, Metazoa, Chordata, Mammalia, Primates, Hylobatidae. The record is from RefSeq and is a predicted model, not a curated record.